AGUUUCUCUCCUGUUUCAUUUGCAGCCACUGGGGAAAGAAACUGUGAGAAUGACCAGGUCCCAAAGAUUUUAUGUGAAGAUGGUCCUAGCAACGAGAGCUCAGCAAGACUUGAAGCCCUGAAGGAGGAGCUGUGCAUUGGCCAAUAGGGUGAGGAGAGACCGUGAAAUGCUCAGAAAGCUUGCUCAGAAACCCCGAACAGACAGUUUGAAAACAAGGAAGGUCAGGAUCCGUGCACUGAGUCAGGGAGAUGAGUAUUUCUGGAUCAGGUUCAAGUAUAACAAAACCCAGAAACAGUGGAUGUGGUUGGACAACACUGGAUUCUCCAGAUACAGGGUAACAUUGAAAAAACACCUUCCUGGAAAUGACUGUGCCUCUUUAAAGAGAACAGAUGACUUUGUUCUCAAGGAUGUCAAUAUCUUCUGCACUGGAUCUGUAAGAGAAAUGUAUCUCUGCUGGAAUUCUGAGAUUCUGCAAGAACAUUGGCAGCAUCUUCUGGAUCUACUAUUUUUUCUCUCAGAGCUGGCAGGGUUGGUAUUCAUCCAUCCUUUUCAUUCUCUUCUUCCUCUUCUCUGUAAGUUACUUUUAUGUCUUUCUCCCCCACUAGAUCUAAAAUAUUAAUGAAACAAUUUGUUUCUUCUAAGCCUAUGUUGCCCUCCCAAACAUUUA
Molecule: long non-coding RNA, 667 nt
Organism: Ornithorhynchus anatinus (platypus)
Lineage: Eukaryota; Metazoa; Chordata; Mammalia; Monotremata; Ornithorhynchidae
Exons: 3
Source: RefSeq, a predicted model, not a curated record